AGUGGGAAAACUGGGUCAAAUGGUGGUUCCGUUCCAGGUUUUUUAAGGAAUCACCAUACUACUUUUCAGAGUGGUUGUACCAAUUUGUAGUCCCACCAGCAAU
This 103-nucleotide microRNA precursor is filed under the name Marmota monax (woodchuck). Lineage: Eukaryota; Metazoa; Chordata; Mammalia; Rodentia; Sciuridae. The record is from RNAcentral.